GCGGCGGCAGCAAAGAGGCUGGAUUUUAAUGCUAAGACUGUUGCUGCUGCUUCAAUUACUAAUUUUAAUGCUAAGACCGUCCAAAAAUCAACCGGAAACCACUACAACAUCAGCGCCGGAGCUUGGAAUCAGAAUGGCGAUACUCCUCUCACUCCCAAAAUUCAGAGCAGUUGCCUAUUCCUUCUAAUUUCCGACAAGGUUUCACGCAGCCAAUCCCCCAUUUUCUCCUCUAAUUUCCAGAAUCAAAAUCGGCGAUACUUCUCUUCAAAAUUAAAAUCACACGCCCACACUAAUACGACGCACAUUUCACGCCGUCGAUUCCCCUUUUCUCCUCCUUUAUCGGCGGAGAGCGCCGCCGCUAAUGGCUAAGAUUGAGGGAGCUAGGGUUUUCGAUUUGGGGAUUGAUAAACGCGGUAUUAAAAUGACGUCGUUUUGUGCCACGUCGUUUGAAUUAAUGACGUGUCACAUACGCGUGGCAUGUUUGAAGACACGUCAUCUUUCCGGCUGCCGGAGCUCAAUUUUAAGGAAAAUUUGGAACAAAUGCAAAGUUCAUGAUUAAAAAUGUAAGUUUCAAAAGUCAUGUGCAAAAUGAAAUUGCGACUAAAGUUCGUGUAUUUUCAUGCAAUUAACC
RNAcentral lists this long non-coding RNA (631 nucleotides) under Salvia miltiorrhiza (redroot sage). RNAcentral's name for it is "long non-coding RNA (SMIL_LNC002745)". The record is from RNAcentral. Lineage: Eukaryota; Viridiplantae; Streptophyta; Magnoliopsida; Lamiales; Lamiaceae.